Molecule: ribosomal RNA, 236 nt
Filed under: uncultured bacterium
Lineage: Bacteria
Description: partial 16S ribosomal RNA
Rfam family: Bacterial small subunit ribosomal RNA
Source: RNAcentral
CCGGCACGGGUGAGUAACACGUAUCCAACCUGCCGUCUACUCUUGGACAGCCUUCUGAAAGGAAGAUUAAUACAAGAUGGCAUCAUGAGUCCACAUGUUCACAUGAUUAAAGGUAUUCCGGUAGACGAUGGGGAUGCGUUCCAUUAGAUAGUAGCGGGGUAACGGCCCACCUAGUCUUCGAUGGAUAGGGGUUCUGAGAGGAAGGUCCCCCACAUUGGAACUGAGACACGGUCCAA